AUUGAACGCUGGCGGCAGGCCUAACACAUGCAAGUCGAGCGGAUGAAGGGAGCUUGCUCCUGGAUUCAGCGGCGGACGGGUGAGUAAUGCCUAGGAAUCUGCCUGGUAGUGGGGGAUAACGUCCGGAAACGGGCGCUAAUACCGCAUACGUCCUGAGGGAGAAAGUGGGGGAUCUUCGGACCUCACGCUCUCAGAUGAGCCUAGGUCGGAUUAGCUAGUUGGUGGGGUAAAGGCCUACCAAGGCGACGAUCCGUAACUGGUCUGAGAGGAUGAUCAGUCACACUGGAACUGAGACACGGUCCAGACUCCUAAGGGAGGCAGCAGUGGGGAAUAUUGGACAAUGGGCGAAAGCCUGAUCCAGCCAUGCCGCGUGUGUGAAGAAGGUCUUCGGAUUGUAAAGCACUUUAAGUUGGGAGGAAGGGCAGUAAGUUAAUACCUUGCUGUUUUGACGUUACCAACAGAAUAAGCACCGGCUAACUUCGUG
RNAcentral lists this ribosomal RNA (484 nucleotides) under uncultured bacterium. Its description in RNAcentral is "partial 16S ribosomal RNA". It matches the Rfam family "Bacterial small subunit ribosomal RNA", at positions 30 to 507 of the family's 1533-position model. The record is from RNAcentral.